Molecule: ribosomal RNA, 298 nt
Filed under: uncultured bacterium
Lineage: Bacteria
Description: partial 16S ribosomal RNA
Rfam family: Bacterial small subunit ribosomal RNA
Source: RNAcentral
GGAUUAGAUACCCUGGUAGUCCACGCCCUAAACGAUGAGAACUAGCCGUUGGGGGCAUUUAAGCCCUUAGUGGCGCAGCUAACGCGUUAAGUUCUCGGCCUGGGGAGUACGGCCGCAAGGUUAAAACUCAAAGGAAUUGACGGGGGCCCGCACAAGCGGUGGAGCAUGUGGUUUAAUUCGACGCAACGCGCAGAACCUUACCAGCCCUUGACAUCCCGAUCGCGAAUAGUGGAGACACUUUUCUUCAGUUAGGCUGGAUCGGUGACAGGUGCUGCAUGGCUGUCGUCAGCUCGUGUUG